UACGUAGGGUGCGAGCGUUAAUCGGAAUUACUGGGCGUAAAGCGUGCGCAGGCGGUUUUGUAAGCCAGAUGUGAAAUCCCCGGGCUCAACCUGGGAAUGGCAUUUGGGACUGCACGGCUAGAGUGUGUCAGAGGGGGGUAGAAUUCCACGUGUAGCAGUGAAAUGCGUAGAUAUGCGGAGGAACACCGAUGGCGAAGGCAAUCCCCUGGACCUGUACUGACGCUCAUGCACGAAAGCGUGGGGAGCAAACGAGG
RNAcentral lists this ribosomal RNA (254 nucleotides) under uncultured bacterium. Its description in RNAcentral is "partial 16S ribosomal RNA". It matches the Rfam family "Bacterial small subunit ribosomal RNA", at positions 524 to 777 of the family's 1533-position model. The record is from RNAcentral.